This 1179-nucleotide ribosomal RNA is filed under the name marine metagenome. Its description in RNAcentral is "bacterial SSU rRNA". It matches the Rfam family "Bacterial small subunit ribosomal RNA", at positions 309 to 1520 of the family's 1533-position model. The record is from RNAcentral.
CAGAGGGGGACUGAGACACGGCCCCCACUCCUACGGGAGGCAGCAGCUAAGAAUAUUGCACAAUGGACGAAAGUCUGAUGCAGCGACACCGCGUGAGGGAUGAAGGUUUUAGGAUUGUAAACCUCUUUUAUUAGGGAAUAGCAAGGAAGGUACCUAAUGAAUAAGCUACGGCUAACUACGUGCCAGCAGCCGCGGUAAUACGUAGGUAGCGAACGUUGUCCGGAAUCACUGGGCGUAAAGGGUCCGUAGGCGGUUUGAUAAGUCUCAUAUGAAAACUUCAAGCUCAACUUGGAGAGGUUGUGAGAUACUGUCAAACUAGAGACUGUUAGAGGUAAGUGGAAUUCCAGGUGUAGUGGUGAAAUGCGUAGAUAUCUGGAGGAACACCAGUGGCGAAAGCGACUUACUGGGACAGUUCUGACGCUAAGGGACGAAAGCGUGGGGAGCGAACCGGAUUAGAUACCCGGGUAGUCCACGCCGUAAACGAUGAUUGCUAGGUUUUCGGGGCAUCGACCCCUCGUGAGCCGAAGUUAACGCGUUAAGCAAUCCGCCUGAGUAGUACGGCCGCAAGGCUAAAACUCAAAGAAAUUGACGGGGGACCGCACAAGCAGCGGAGCGUGUGGUUUAAUUCGAUGGUAAGCGAAGAACCUUACCAGGGUUUGACAUGUAAGUAGUACUGAACCGAAAGGGAAUGGACCCGCAAGGGAGCUUACACAGGUGUUGCAUGGUUGUCGUCAGCUCGUGCCGUGAGGUGUUGGGUUAAGUCCCGCAACGAGCGCAACCCUCUUUGUUAGUUGCACUCUCUAACGAUACUGCCCUUAAAAGGGAGGAAGGUGGGGAUGACGUCAAAUCAUCAUGGCUCUUACACCCUGGGCUACACACACGCUACAAUGGCAAGUACAGACGGUUGCCAACCCGCGAGGGGGAGCUAAUCCGAUAAAACUUGUCUCAGUUGGGAUUAUAGGCUGAAAUUCGCCUAUAUGAACGUGGAGUUGCUAGUAAACGCAGGUCAGCACACUGCGUUGAAUACGUUCCCGGUCCUUGUACACACCGCCCGUCACGUCAUGGAAGUUUGUAACACUUGAAGUCGUUGCGCUAACCCUUUGGGAGGCAGACGCCGAAAGUGGGAUGGAUGACUGGGACGAAGUCGUAACAAGGUAGCUGUACCGGAAGGUGCGGCUG